AGUGAACGCUGGCGGUAGGCCUAACACAUGCAAGUCGAACGGCAGCACAGUAAGAGCUUGCUCUUACGGGUGGCGAGUGGCGGACGGGUGAGGAAUACAUCGGAAUCUACUUUUUCGUGGGGGAUAACGUAGGGAAACUUACGCUAAUACCGCAUACGACCUACGGGUGAAAGCAGGGGAUCUUCUGACCUUGCGCGAUUGAAUGAGCCGAUGUCGGAUUAGCUAGUUGGCGGGGUAAAGGCCCACCAAGGCGACGAUCCGUAGCUGGUCUGGGAGGAUGGUCAGCCACACUGGAACUGAGACACGGUCCAGACUCCUACGGGAGGCAGCAGUGGGGAAUAUUGGACAAUGGGCGCAAGCCUGAUCCAGCCAUACCGCGUGGGUGAAGAAGGCCUUCGGGUUGUAAAGCCCUUUUGUUGGGAAAGAAAAGCAGCAGGUUAAUACCCCGCUGUUCUGACGGUACCCAAAGAAUAAGCACCGGCUAACUUCGUG
Molecule: ribosomal RNA, 492 nt
Filed under: uncultured bacterium
Lineage: Bacteria
Description: partial 16S ribosomal RNA
Rfam family: Bacterial small subunit ribosomal RNA
Source: RNAcentral